This 443-nucleotide long non-coding RNA is filed under the name Mus caroli (Ryukyu mouse). RNAcentral describes it as "lncRNA (MGP_CAROLIEiJ_G0003502.1)". The record is from RNAcentral. Lineage: Eukaryota; Metazoa; Chordata; Mammalia; Rodentia; Muridae.
ACUUUCACUGGAGGCUUGGAAGAGCCUCCAGGGCUUCCUGGAGGAGGUGUUUGCCCUAAAUGAAAACUAGGUGUAUCCAGGGUCAGUUGCUGCCUAUAGCCAGAGCAGAAGCAGAGAGACGGGCGGAGGCAGCUACAGAGGUGACAGAUCACCUCAGCUGUCCCUGAUCCUGUCUCUUCUUGGCCCCUGGCCCUGCCCCUGCUCUUCCAGGAAGUCUCUGCUCCAAGGGAAAGCAGAGUACAGAUACCAAAGGCUCAUAGCAACCACCUCAGGCCUAGUCAAUCCCGGGCAUCUUCCUCCCCAACCCCCGCAGUUUGGAAAAGUGUCCACUAGGUGGCGAUAGAACGAUGACAUCCUCAACUCCACCAGUUAAGUUAGCAGAUGUUUGCAGGUCAGAGGCUCAGUACAAGGUCGGGAAGGACCAGCAGACGGAGCAGCGAGGC